AGCCCCAGCCCCGGGAGUCCCAGGUGUUCCCAUUCUGUGAUCAGGACAGAACACAGAAACCUCACCAUGGAGUUUGUUCUGGGCUGGGUUUUCCUGGUUGCUCUUUUAAAAGGUGUCCUGUGUGACGUGGAGCUGGUGGAGUCUGGAGGAGACCUGGUGAAGCCUGGAGGGUCCCUGAGACUCACCUGUGUAGCCUCUGGAUUCACCUUCAGUAGCAACUACAUGAGCUGGGUCCGCCAGGCUCCAGGGAAGGGGCUGCAGUGGGUCGCAUAUAUUAGUAAUAGUGGAGGCAGCACAUACUACGCAGACUCCGUGAAGGGCCGAUUCACCAUCUCCAGAGACAACUCCAAGAACACGCUGUAUCUGCAGAUGAACAACCUGAAAACUGAGGACACGGCCAUAUAUUAGUGU
Molecule: non-coding RNA, 411 nt
Organism: Leopardus geoffroyi (Geoffroy's cat)
Lineage: Eukaryota; Metazoa; Chordata; Mammalia; Carnivora; Felidae
Source: the annotation of a RefSeq genome assembly